AUUGAACGCUGGCGGCAUGCCUUACACAUGCAAGUCGAACGGUAACAGGUCUUCGGAUGCUGACGAGUGGCGAACGGGUGAGUAAUACAUCGGAACGUGCCUAGUAGUGGGGGAUAACUACUCGAAAGAGUGGCUAAUACCGCAUGAGAUCUACGGAUGAAAGCAGGGGAUCGCAAGACCUUGUGCUACUAGAGCGGCCGAUGGCAGAUUAGGGAGUUGGGGAGAUAAAAGCUUACCAAGCCGACGAUCUGUAGCUGGUCUGAGAGGACGAUCAGCCACACUGGGACUGAGAAACGGCCCAGACUCCUACGGGAGGCAGCAGUGGGGAAUUUUGGACAAUGGGCGCAAGCCUGAUCCAGCAAUGCCGCGUGCAGGAUGAAGGCCUUCGGGUUGUAAACUGCUUUUGUACGGAACGAAAAGCCCCGGGUUAAUACCCUGGGGUCAUGACGGUACCGUAAGAAUAAGCACCGGCUAACUACGUGCCAGCCGCCGCAGUAA
This 498-nucleotide ribosomal RNA is filed under the name uncultured bacterium. RNAcentral's name for it is "partial 16S ribosomal RNA". It matches the Rfam family "Bacterial small subunit ribosomal RNA", at positions 30 to 523 of the family's 1533-position model. The record is from RNAcentral.